UUCUAAGGGCGGUGAAGUCAGACCGGAAGGACUGGUGGAGCGCUUAGAAGUGAGAAUGCCGGUAUGAGUAGCGAAAGAAGGGUGAGAAUCCCUUCCACCGAAUAUCUAAGGUUUCCUGAGGAAGGCUCGUCCGCUCAGGGUUAGUCGGGACCUAAGCCGAGGCCGAUAGGCGUAGGCGAUGGACAACAGGUAGAGAUUCCUGUACCAGUGCUAAUUGUUUAACCGAUGGGGUGACACAGAAGGAUAGGGAAUCGCACGAAUGGAAAUGUGCGUCCAAGCAGUGAGUGUGAGAAGUAGGCAAAUCCGCUUCUCGCGAAGCAUGAGCUGUGAUGGGGAAGGAAAUUAAGUACGGAAGUUCCUGAUUUCACGCUGUCAAGAAAAGCCUCUAGGAAGAGUAGUACUGCCCGUACCGCAAACCGACACAGGUAGAUGAGGAGAGAAUCCUAAGGUGAGCGAGAGAACUCUCGUUAAGGAACUCGGCAAAAUGACCCCGUAACUUCGGGAGAAGGGGUGCUCUAUUAGGGUGCAAGCCCGAGAGAGCCGCAGUGAAUAGGCCCAGGCGACUGUUUAGCAAAAACACAGGUCUCUGCAAAACCGUAAGGUGACGUAUAGGGGCUGACGCCUGCCCGGUGCUGGAAGGUUAAGAGGAGUGCUUAGCUUCGGCGAAGGUACGAAUUGAAGCCCCAGUAAACGGCGGCCGUAACUAUAACGGUCCUAAGGUAGCGAAAUUCCUUGUCGGGUAAGUUCCGACCCGCACGAAAGGCGCAACGAUCUGGGCACUGUCUCAACGAGAGACUCGGUGAAAUUAUAGUACCUGUGAAGAUGCAGGUUACCCGCGACAGGACGGAAAGACCCCGUGGAGCUUUACUGCAACCUGAUAUGGAAUGUUUGUACCGCUUGUACAGGAUAGGUAGGAGCCGAAGAGACGUGUGCGCUAGCAUACGAGGAGGCAAUGGUGGGAUACUACCCUGGCUGUAUGACCAUUCUAACCCGCCACGCUUAGCGCGUGGGGAGACAGUGUCAGGUGGGCAGUUUGACUGGGGCGGUCGCCUCCUAAAGAGUAACGGAGGCGCCCAAAGGUUCCCUCAGAAUGGAUGGAAAUCAUUCGCAGAGUGUAAAGGCACAAGGGAGCUUGACUGCGAGACUGACAAGUCGAGCAGGGACGAAAGUCGGGCUUAGUGAUCCGGUGGUUCCGCAUGGAAGGGCCAUCGCUCAACGGAUAAAAGCUACCCCGGGGAUAACAGGCUUAUCUCCCCCAAGAGUCCACAUCGACGGGGAGGUUUGGCACCUCGAUGUCGGCUCGUCGCAUCCUGGGGCUGUAGUCGGUC
Molecule: ribosomal RNA, 1328 nt
Filed under: Listeria monocytogenes
Lineage: Bacteria; Bacillati; Bacillota; Bacilli; Caryophanales; Listeriaceae
Description: partial 23S ribosomal RNA
Rfam family: Bacterial large subunit ribosomal RNA
Source: RNAcentral